This 342-nucleotide unclassified non-coding RNA is filed under the name soil metagenome. Its description in RNAcentral is "partial contains 5.8S ribosomal RNA, internal transcribed spacer 2, and large subunit ribosomal RNA". The stretch from base 5 to 119 matches the Rfam family "5.8S ribosomal RNA", at positions 40 to 154 of the family's 154-position model. The record is from RNAcentral.
GAUGAGAACGUAGCGAAAUGCGAUAAGUAAUGUGAAUUGCAGAAUCCAGUGAAUCAUCGAAUCUUUGAACGCACAUUGCGCCCGCCAGCAUUCUGGCGGGCAUGCCUGUUCGAGCGUCAUUUCAACCCUCGACCUCCCUUUGGGGAAGUCGGCGUUGGGGACCGGCAGCACACCGCCGGCCCUGAAAUGGAGUGGCGGCCCGUCCGCGGCGACCUCUGCGUAGUAAUCCAACUCGCACCGGAACCCCGACGCGGCCACGCCGUAAAACACCCAACUUCUGAACGUUGACCUCGAAUCAGGUAGGACUACCCGCUGAACUUAAGCAUAUCAAUAAGCGGAGGA